GUCUGGCCUGCUCACUGAUAAAUUUAAAUAGCCGCGGUAUAUUGACCGUGCAAAGGUAGCAUAAUCAUUAGUCUCUUAAUUAGGGGCUGGAAUGAAUGGCUUGACGAAAAAUCGACUGUCUCUUGAUAAAAUAUAAAAUUUAACUUUUGAGUUAAAAGGCUUAAAUUUUUUUUUAGGACGAGAAGACCCUAUAGAUCUUUACAUUUUAUUUAUAUAUAUAUUUUAGUU
RNAcentral lists this ribosomal RNA (228 nucleotides) under Eutryxalis filata. Its description in RNAcentral is "partial 16S ribosomal RNA". It matches the Rfam family "Archaeal large subunit ribosomal RNA", at positions 1944 to 2212 of the family's 2987-position model. Lineage: Eukaryota; Metazoa; Arthropoda; Insecta; Orthoptera; Acrididae. The record is from RNAcentral.